Molecule: ribosomal RNA, 1506 nt
Filed under: Triticum aestivum (bread wheat)
Lineage: Eukaryota; Viridiplantae; Streptophyta; Magnoliopsida; Poales; Poaceae
Description: partial small subunit ribosomal RNA
Source: RNAcentral
AUGGUUGUGUCUGCUGCUAUUCGGUCUGGCCGCUGCCGUCGGGGCCGUCCUCCUGGGAUUCGGGCAGCCGUUAUUGCCCACGUGCACCGUGCUGCCAGUCGCCUACCUUCGGAUUUGCCAUCGGCGACGGCAGCCGCUGGUGCGCGUGGUCGCCCGGGUGCAGUUGAUUCGGCAUGUCGUCCUCGGUUUGGUUCUCGCCGAGCGUUUCGUUCUUCCCGGAGUGCCGACCACCGAUUCGACUCGUGGCAUGGUGCCAAUCUGGACGUUGAUAGUCGCCGUCGGGAAAUUUUAUUAGGCAAGCGGCCUGUAGAUUGCACCAUUGGUGAGUGCAUUCAAUCUUUUGCUACGUGUAUGAGAGUGCCUGUGCGUGUUUCUGGUUGGUCCGUUGCGUUUCUCCAAGACUUUGCUGUUGGCAUGUCCCUCUACGACUCCUCGACCGUCGGGCCCCCGUUUUCCUUCCCGGAGCUGGCCACUCCAUCGCCCUUCCGACAGACGCAUCCCCUCCGCCUUCGCUUUGCGUAUAUGCUCCGAACCUGCCAUAUCAUGCUCGGCUAUGGCGGGAACGAGACGAUCGCCUGGGCCACCUCCCAUGGUCCUCGGCAACUCCAAAUAAGAGGAAGGACAGACGGCGUAGGAAAGGCGCGCGAUCGAGAGACGGCCGCCUCUGGCAUCACAAGACCUCGAUGUCGCCAUGGCAGUCAGACGCGUGAUGCGUCCGACAACGCGCCCUCACUCUCAGACAAGUUGCAGCCGUUCUCCGACGACGACGCUUGCGGCUUGCCCAGCCGCCCUACGCAGCCCUCCCGCCCUCAGCGUGCGAGAUGGGAGGCCGCCGCCUUGAGCUCGCGCCAGCCCUGCUGCAAGUCAGCCAUGGACGAGGUCGACCUGCACAGACGGGAGACGGCGCAGAGUGUUGGCCGCGCUUGCCGCCGUGGCGAUGGGCAUGGCCAGGCCAAUACGAUGAUGGACGAGAUGGUCUACAUCAUGAACAACAACCUAGCUGACUUCGCCCUGGGCACAGAAAGUGGCGGCAGCGUCAGGGUGCCCGCUGCCUAUUGCGGCAUCUGCAGGCUCCGGCCCUCCCACGGACUGGUGUGCACUGAAUAUGUCGUCCUGGUGGCACAUAUGUUCGACACUGUCGGUUUCAGUUAUGCUUAUGCGAUAUUUGCCCCGCGAUGGAGCCAGUCGAACGUAUGUUGCUUUCACUGCAGGGCCGGGUCGAGCUGUGGAAUGCCCUGGGGCUACUCACUAAAGCACUAUACUCCUCCUACUCAUUGUCUUUCUUCCCUUCGAGGUUUAGGACAGUUCGUAAUACGCGUCUUCGAUAGUAUGCACAUCUCCAAAACAGUAUCCUGCAUGAGCAUUGCAGAGGUGUGGACCAAAGACGUUGUCAUGAAGGGCUUGACAUAUUCCUCAAAAAAAAAGUGUGAGUUGAGUGCUUCAGAUUAUCUCAUGUUUUCAAGGCCUCAAAACAAUGAUCCAUGCAGCCCAUCAUUUUUUAUCUGA